UGUGACGAGACAAAGAACCGAGGAACAUACACUCGCGUGACAUCUAUGGUGCCGUGACUCAGAUAUAACCUGGCUGAAACAACCUCUGCGUGGAAGAGGCCAAGCACAGCAGGAGCCCAACUCAGCGAAGCUCCCACGCUAGAAGCGGAAGGCAAAGAAACACAGCUCAGGGGAAGGCCUAUCGUGCUGGAAACCGGGACAGCGAAAAACGAACUCAGCAGAAAGCUCACGCGGCCCAGUCUCAGAUUCCAGAAGACCUCCAGUUAAGGUCAACCAGCUACAACAUGCAGUGCCAGUUCAACAAA
Bubalus bubalis (water buffalo) is the source of this 305-nucleotide long non-coding RNA. RefSeq lists it as uncharacterized. Lineage: Eukaryota; Metazoa; Chordata; Mammalia; Artiodactyla; Bovidae. The record is from RefSeq and is a predicted model, not a curated record. The transcript has 2 exons.